Cryptomeria japonica (Japanese cedar) is the source of this 462-nucleotide long non-coding RNA. RefSeq lists it as uncharacterized. Lineage: Eukaryota; Viridiplantae; Streptophyta; Pinopsida; Cupressales; Cupressaceae. The transcript is spliced from 2 exons. The record is from RefSeq and is a predicted model, not a curated record.
AGCAUGCUCAAUUUAAAUUUUUUUUUUUUUUUUUUGCAUGUUUUUGGAAAAAACCCUUGCUGUGGUCGCCACCAUGCACUCCCUUCUUGAGCUUGAACAGUUGCUUGAAGGCUUUGAUCUGGACUUUUAGCUCGAUAUGUGCUUUAUUCUCCUCUUAUCAUGCAUGUGCAUGACUUCUGUGGCUACCCUGGACUAUAUCACUGUCUUGAACUUCACAUAUGCUCUGUGAGUUGCACUCUAUGACUGAUACUGGGUUCUCAUGCCGUGAUUGUCUUCUUGAUAUGAUGCAACCUUCUUACUCCUCUGUAACUUCACAUGGCUAUGAUAAUGCUUAUGAAGCUGUAAUAUGAUUGUAGCUUUUACUGUUCUUGUCUUUUUCCACAUGAUUGCCUUGAUUUGUCAUCAUGAACAACCAUAUCAUUGCUAUGAAUCUAUUAUUUCAUGAUUUUGGGGUUUGCUCCU